GAUGAACGCUAGCGGCAGGCUUAACACAUGCAAGUCGAGGGGUAUUGGUUUUCGGACCAAGAGACCGGCGCACGGGUGCGCAACGCGUAUGCAAUCUACCUUUUGCAGAGGGAUAGCCCAGAGAAAUUUGGAUUAAUACCUCAUAGUAUAGUAGUUUCGCAUGAAACGACUAUUAAAGUUCCAACGGCAAAAGAUGAGCAUGCGUCCCAUUAGCUAGUUGGUAAGGUAACGGCUUACCAAGGCAACGAUGGGUAGGGGUCCUGAGAGGGUGAUCCCCCCCACUGGGACGGGUACACGGACCAGACUCCCACGGGAGGCAGCAGGGAGGAAUAUUGGGCAAUGGGCGCAAGCCUGAUCCAGCCAUGCCGCGUGCAGGAUGACGGUCCUAUGGAUUGUAAACUGCUUUUGUACAGGAAGAAACACUCCCUCGUGAGGGAGCUUGACGGUACUGUAAGAAUAAGGAUCGGCUAACUCCGUGCCAGCCGCCGCGGUAA
RNAcentral lists this ribosomal RNA (494 nucleotides) under uncultured bacterium. RNAcentral's name for it is "partial 16S ribosomal RNA". It matches the Rfam family "Bacterial small subunit ribosomal RNA", at positions 28 to 523 of the family's 1533-position model. The record is from RNAcentral.